RNAcentral lists this long non-coding RNA (524 nucleotides) under Bos taurus (domestic cattle). RNAcentral describes it as "long non-coding RNA NONBTAT025093". Lineage: Eukaryota; Metazoa; Chordata; Mammalia; Artiodactyla; Bovidae. The record is from RNAcentral.
AUAGCAAUGACUGAAUAAAAACCACCUCAAUUCUCAGACAUUUACUGAGUUGCCAGUUUCUACACAGAAUCCUGUAGGAGGCUAAACAGAGAAGUUCAAAGGGUCAGUCAGGAAGGUAUGACAAUAGUUAAAAGAGAGGGGCUACAGGUCAAGUCUAGAUCAGGUCCUUCCUUUGUUGCAAUGGCAUAGCUGCAAUCCUUACACCUGAAAGGUUACAACCCAAGUCUCAGAAAAUUUUGCAGAUGGCUUCACCAGCAGGCUGAGAAGACUACAUCCCCACCUUGGCUUCCUCCAGACAGCACUGGAACUCAAACUCCUUAUGUGGCAGCCCUACAGUUAGUGCAACACCAACUAGGGUAUUCUCUCAACCACAUGAUUUUACUGAAAACUCAACCAAGUGGAAUAUUUUCGGGUUUUUAGUUGUUAUUUUUUAUAUUAGCCAUCCGUUGUUUAACCACACGUGCAUGAUCAUACCACACUCUCUUGGCUUGGUUUUUGCUGCCAGUUAAAAUAAACUACCUACU